GCUGGAUGUGGUGGCACACACCUAUAAUCCCAGAAACUCAGGAGGCUGAGACAGGAGGAUUGUGUGUUAAAAGCCAGCCUCAGCAAUAGUGAGGUGCUAAGCAAUUCAGUGAGACCCUGUCUCUA
This 125-nucleotide small RNA is filed under the name Marmota monax (woodchuck). The record is from RNAcentral. Lineage: Eukaryota; Metazoa; Chordata; Mammalia; Rodentia; Sciuridae.